GAUGAAGAACGUAGCGAAAUGCGAUAAGUAAUGUGAAUUGCAGAAUUCAGUGAAUCAUCGAAUCUUUGAACGCACAUUGCGCCCGCCAGUAUUCUGGCGGGCAUGCCUGUUCGAGCGUCAUUUCAACCAUCAAGCCCCCGGCUUGUGUUGGGGACCUGCGGCUGCCGCAGGCCCUGAAAAGCAGUGGCGGGCUCGCUGUCACACCGAGCGUAGUAGCAUACAUCUCGCUCUGGGCGUGUGGCGGGUUCCGGCCGUGAAACCCCUCCAAUUUAUCAAGGUUGACCUCGGAUCAGGUAGGAAUACCCGCUGAACUUAAGCAUAUCAAUAAGCGGAGGA
Molecule: unclassified non-coding RNA, 336 nt
Filed under: soil metagenome
Description: partial contains 5.8S ribosomal RNA, internal transcribed spacer 2, and large subunit ribosomal RNA
Rfam family: 5.8S ribosomal RNA (bases 1-120)
Source: RNAcentral